AGAGGGAACUUCUGCUAAUCCCGGAUGAGCCGAAAGGUGAAAUGAUUUAUCGCCUGGAGAUGAGCUCGCGUCUGAUUAGCUAGUUGGGGGGGUAAAAGCCCACCAAGGCGACGAUCAGUAGCUGGUCUGAGAGGACGAUCAGCCACACUGGGACUGAGACACGGCCCAGACUCCUACGGGAGGCAGCAGUGGGGAAUUUUCCGCAAUGGGCGCAAGCCUGACGGAGCAAGACCGCGUGGGGGAGGAAGGCUCUUGGGUUGUAAACCCCUUUUCUCAAGGAAGAAGUUCUGACGGUACUUGAGGAAUCAGCCUCGGCUAACUCCGUGCCAGCAGCCGCGGUAAUACGGAGGAGGCAAGCGUUAUCCGGAAUGAUUGGGCGUAAAGCGUCCGCAGGUGGCCGUUCAAGUCUGCUGUCAAAGCCAGGGGCUCAACUCCUGACCGGCAGUGGAAACUGAACAGCUAGAGUGCGGUAGGGGCAGAGGGAAUUCCCGGUGUAGCGGUGAAAUGCGUAGAGAUCGGGAAGAACACCGGUGGCGAAAGCGCUCUGCUGGGCCGCAACUGACACUCAGGGACGAAAGCUAGGGGAGCGAAUGGGAUUAGAUACCCAAAGUAGUCAA
Molecule: ribosomal RNA, 617 nt
Filed under: Lyngbya sp. tnl-2
Lineage: Bacteria; Bacillati; Cyanobacteriota; Cyanophyceae; Oscillatoriales; Microcoleaceae
Description: bacterial SSU rRNA
Rfam family: Bacterial small subunit ribosomal RNA
Source: RNAcentral